AGAAGCUCACUGGCUCUACCCGGGACCCUGAGCUGCCUAGGGCUGGGGGAGGCGUCCGAGCAGUCGCGGAGCCUGCCAGACCCUCGGCUAGAAUGGGGACCCGCUGUCCAGCCGAGGCUGGCGGAGGCGCACCGGGGGCGCAGAGGGCGAUGCUAGUAGUCUGGACCCAAAGGACUGCAGGAAGGAGACCGUGAGGAAGCGUCUGUGCCUGGGAAGCCCCAGCUCCUGCUUGGGCCAGGCAGCCAGCACCUACCUGAUCCCGGGGAACCGGAGUCCGGCGGCGGCAGGAGAGCUGCCAGGUAGGACGGCGGGCAAAGCGCUUCUUCAAGUUCCUGCGCUGGAGUCACCACCCGAGAGGCAUCGCCGUCUGGCGUUGGUGUCUGAGCAGAAGCCGCAGGAACCAGCGGGAGCAGCAGGAGGAGCUGCGGGACUCGUUUGCCGAGGCUCGUGUUCUGCUCAAAAGUUUGUAGACGCGCAGAACCAGGAGGGAGCGUGACACGGAGAGAAGGGGGCGCAGAGAGAGAGGCAGAAGAAAGAAAGAGGGGGCGAUGAGGUGAAGCGCGGAGGAGCAAGGUGGCCUCACGUAAUGAUCGGGUAUCAGAAAAAGACGUCAGCAUCCUAGUCCCUCAAGGAACAUAUUAACUAUUCUGUGCUGUCCUCUUGGAUGAUAAGAUCCGGAGUCAUCGACUUCUCAUAAACACCUUUCACUCAUACAAUCCAAUUUUUAAGAAGUCCAAUUGUUUUGAUGGUUUUCAAUUUCACCCGUUUCUCAAGGACAGGUAAAGAAUUUUUAGAAUUUUGAGGAUGACAAAAGUUAUGUUUUUAACUAUAUAAUUACGAUUUCUCUUUACUUUUUCAUCAAGCCUCACCAAUCAGAGCUCUGGUCUCUGGAAUUAAGCAUCAUCAAGCUCUCCUAUUAAUAAAUUUAAUUUAGAUCUCC
Molecule: long non-coding RNA, 940 nt
Organism: Homo sapiens (human)
Lineage: Eukaryota; Metazoa; Chordata; Mammalia; Primates; Hominidae
Source: Ensembl